Molecule: ribosomal RNA, 254 nt
Filed under: uncultured bacterium
Lineage: Bacteria
Description: partial 16S ribosomal RNA
Rfam family: Bacterial small subunit ribosomal RNA
Source: RNAcentral
UACGGAGGGUGCGAGCGUUGUCCGGAAUCACUGGGCGUAAAGGGCGCGUAGGUGGCCUGUGGAAGUCUGCGGUGAAAGCCCGGCGCUCAACGCCGGGUCGGCCGUGGAUACUCUCGGGCUUGAGCUUACUAGAGGCAGAUGGAAUUCCGGGUGUAGCGGUGGAAUGCGUAGAGAUCCGGAAGAACACCGGUGGCGAAGGCGGUCUGCUGGGGUAAUGCUGACACUGAUGCGCGGCAGCGUGGGGAGCAAACAGG